CGCGUCCAGUGUAAACGAGGAUUCGGCCUGUUUCUCUGAAGGCGUGAGUCCGCCUCCAUCCACCAGCCUCUCCUUAGGCUUUUAGUCCGCCAUCGCACACCCUGGAAAGGAAGUCUGCCCGCUCCACAUGCCCUGUCACCCAUCGACCUCCUCGCUCACCGAACGUGCCCUACCGUAACAUGAAUACAGAUGCGUAUGUAGCCGCUUCCGGGUAACAACCAAAUGCCACCCGCCAAGGCAUAAGCGGCAGAGGUGUGCCCAUACUAAAGUCUUGCCAAACACACAAUGACAACCACAACGUCCGACCUGCUGCACAGUGCUACCGCAGACUCUGCAUGCUGCCGGUGCCGGCACUCCAGUCCGUAGCUAGCCACGGAUGUGCAUGUAGCCACUUCCGCGGAACAACCAAACGCCACCCGCCAAGGCAUAAGCGGCACAGGUGGACCCAUACUAAGUCUUGCCAAACACACACGACCUCAACCACAACGUCCGACCUGCUGCACAGUGCCACCGCAGACUCCGCAUGCUGCCGGUGCCAGCGCUCCAGUCCACAGCUAGCCACACCCGUGCUGCCCUUCGUAAGCCUGCAUAGUGUUCAGGACGAUUCGGUCAGGAACCAAACCACAAAACCAGGUAUAUCAGAGGGUAAGACGCAAGGUACCUUUCCCCCCAUGUUCAGCUGCAGACACGCUACU
RNAcentral lists this long non-coding RNA (695 nucleotides) under Chlamydomonas reinhardtii. RNAcentral describes it as "long non-coding RNA (CREI_LNC001452)". Lineage: Eukaryota; Viridiplantae; Chlorophyta; Chlorophyceae; Chlamydomonadales; Chlamydomonadaceae. The record is from RNAcentral.